GCAGUGAAUGGUACCAAUACAUUCGCUUGAGUUAGUGCACGUAGUCGCUACGUCACCAGCCUUCCAGCUAGGGUUCCCAACUGUCCCACAUUAGCCAUAACAUCCAGUAGAUUGGGCUAAAUUGGUUUGUUCCAUACAGGACCUCCCUUAUCCUGUACACUGACUGCUACUCUACUCUGUAGCCAGACGGCACACUUACAGAUUCUAGAUCUGAUACAGCAGGUAAUGUGCUUAUCAAGACCAGGGGUGAGACCUGUCAUCCAAUUAUGCACAUCAGCUGUACAUAAAGAAAUGGUUUUUGCAGUGUCUGGUGUUACUUUGGUCAGUUUUCCCUGUGCAAAUAUGGAUAGACCUGCAAAAAAGGAAAGCAAUGGGAAGUAAAAAGAUGUGAGUUACAUUCACCAGUGAUGACUUUUCUGUACUUCUGAAAUUCUCAGUCGGCCAUGGAGGUGAGAAUGACCUAACUCAACAUGCAAUAUUGGUGAAUUCUUCAUGACAGCUACUGCAGAAAAUGACAAAACUGCUGAAGCCUGUUUCCAGAGUGUGUUGGAUAUUUCUCUGUGUCUGAUGAAGUUCAGAGCAAGUUACUUGAGUUUUGUAAAGACGGUGUUGAAACUGCAAACGGCAUACGUUAAGUUCUGAUGAACUGUCGGGUAUAGUGUGAAGUGGAUGUUCGACACAUCACAGCCUGUGCAGCAGAUAAUGCCAGUUUCAACUUUGGGAAAACACCUCUCCAUUUACCAGUUAUUGAGCAGUGCCAACAAUAACAUUCUGAAAGCUAAUUACCCAGCUCACGUAGCUCAUGACGCCUGCAAGCACUUGAUUGCUUUUAAGAUCUACAGCCACUUCUCAGUGUCUGCUUCCCAAAUAGAGGAACUGCGUGCAUUUUUGCCUUUGUUGACAUUGAGUGGCAUGAAAUUCUGCAUCAUAUUCACACACAAUGGCUGUCAUUCAGCUGUCGAUCAUCUCCUGCAAAGCUGGCCAGCUCUUACCUCAUACUUCAGGUCCCUUGGGGAGACCUGUCCCGUGGCAUUGAGUUCAGCUGCUGAGAUGUAUAUGUUCUUUUUCCACAAUUUUGACCAACUCAUAAAAUACCUAGAGGAAACAAACCUCUGCAUCGCAGAUAUUUACAUGGAAGUCCCAAAGUUCAACAUGAAGAUGCCUCAACAGACACAGGUCAAAUUUUGGAUACCAAACUCAGCAGCUUCGAGUCAGCACAAAGGUCGAAGCAGCUGCAGGACUUCUAUGAUUCUGUCACUGCAUACAAUGACGAGUGCUUUGAUUUCCCAACAAAAAAAUGUGAAACUGAAACCAGUGUCCUUCUAUGAGCUUUCCUUCAUUGACCUGGAGCAGGUGGAGCCUGCAAUCAAAAUGACAGUCAGUAUGGACCAGCUCUUAGAAACGUUUUGUGCUAUCCUGGGGUAAAUACAGAAAGCCGGACAGGAUACCAGAAAAUCCACCGGUGAGAACUGGGUGGCAGUUUUCAGAAAAUAUGGACAAAUCCAACAGAUACAGCACAGAGCUGAGCAAAAAUGAACUUCAAAUACCUGUGAAUUGUGACUUGCAACAACUCUCUGGCUGUGCAAAAGGACAAAGGACUGCUUAAAUCAGUCAAGAGCAGCAAAAUAAUAUCCAGGGGAAAAGUUGCCAUGGUGAGUCAUGUCCCUCUUUUCUCCUUUUACAUUUGAAAUUUUUAUUUGUUUGUUUUCUGUAAAUGUGCAAAUUGUAAUUUCUCUAUAGCUAUGGACUAAAUGGAAUAUAUGAUUUUCUGCCAAUUGAAUAAGAAUAUGAAUAUAUGCUGUAUAUUCACACCACAGUGGCAUUAGACAAAGAGGUCCCUUAUUUGGUUAGCCCCUUUUUAAAAAGAGAUCACACUAUAUUCUUGACCCUUGAAUACACCUGAUUUGCUUGUUUACACAAAACCACACAAAGCCAGCAUAAUGCCCCUCCUGUGUGUGAUUUUAUACAUCAUGAUCGCUGAAUCAGAGGUAUGACAUGUAACACAGCAGCCUUGGCCUCAGAAAAGCUGGUAAACCUACUUCCAGUACAGCCUAUUUGUGAGGACAUGCAGAUAAAAUCUGUGGUGCUGGAACUAAUAUUGAUGCUAUGUAACUUCCCUUUUCUACAGUAAUGGCAUAAAAGCAAGACUCAAGUUGUGGCUCAAUUUGCAUAUUUAUAUAUUCACACUUGCUAUUUUGGCUGCAUAAGUGCAUUCUCAUAGACGAGAAUGGAAACAUGCAGUGUACUGUAAGCACUUCAAAUGGCCAGAGCGUUGAACACUGGACGCCUCUCACCCUCAACGGUCACCAUCUUCUAGCCGAAUGAGGAGGGACCACCAAUGUUACUGGUGAAAAUGGUGUCUGACGCAGACACGCCGUCAGCACCAAUGGCAGCGUAAUUUCCAUGUCACAUAAAACAGGGGGCACACACAAUAAAGUAAAAAUUUAUUGUAGAUAGUUUUAGAAAUAUAAUAAUUGAGAAAAUAGUGAAUGAAAUUCAAAUCUUGAGCUGCUAGUGGCACCACAGCCAAAGUCGGUGGAUCACAAAAGUCUUUAGGAUUCACCCUCUGGGUACUAUGAAUGAAAAAAAAAAAAUCAUAGUAAUCCAUCCAGUUGUGUUUUAAAUAUCUCAGACAAAAGCAGUAGAUUGACCAGCUAAGAGACUGACAUUGCUAAAGCUGUGCUGCUGGCAUGGCCAAAAACAGUGGACUGCUUAUGACCAUGCCUGCCAUCAUUUGUAGUUUUAAAAUGAUUGAAAUUUAUAAGAAAAGUGAAUGAGUGGACCAUGAGUUGGGAUUAUUUUGUCAAAGAAAAUCAGGAUUAUUUACAUGUUAAUUUAAUUCAGCCUUUGCUGUAUUAGUUAUAUCCAUCUAAAGAACACCAGCUCCACCAGAGGUUUUGAAGAUAAUUUCUACUCUAAUUAACUACUACUAAUUAAAUUAUUUUUCAUAUUAUGGUUAUCAGUUAUAUUUUUAAACAAUCAUCAUUGUCCUUUAUAGACUUGCAAUUACAACAAGACAACACAUACUAAUAAUAAUGAUAAUAAAAACUGCAUUUCAAUUCUUUUUUUUUUAAGCCUUUGCAAAUUAAUUUUUUGGCACCACUAAUCACAAAAAAAGUGCCAAAAUGUGUCAGUAUGCAUAAGAUAGUGCUCCCAAAAUGCAAACAGCAGUGUGUUGCAGUAGUGGCAGGGGGCAAGGAUCGAGCAUAGCUGCAAGCUGUCGCACUCCUGACUUAAAGAGGCAGUGCAUUAACUCUGCAUACACACAUACACACCCAGCUGCACACCAGCUAUUAUACCCAAGCAGGCAGUCUGGAGGAAAUGAAGCAUCAUUGUCAUAGGCACACACAAACACACAUCACAGCCUCAAGUGUUCUCUUUUGUUGAAGAGGGCAACACAGACAGUGGGACAACAAGAGAAGGAGAUGGCUGCCUAUAAGGCAGACAAUGAAUGAAAGAAGUAGAGAUGGAGGGAGGAGAGAGAGAACAGAGGUGGUGUUGCUGUGAUGGACAGGUGAAAGCAGGCAGGGAAAUUGGGGACUGGAUGAAUGCUGAUUUGUAUGGCAUUUAACCACUUGGCCCAUGUCAGUGUUAUUGUGUGUGGUGGUGUAUAGAAUAUUAGUGUAGCCUACAGCACAAGAGUAGGAUAUGCAUUAGGUCACUUGCAUGAGAGCAGCAGACAGCUCUCCAGUAACCUUGUCUUUUUGUCUAGGGCUUGUAGUUUUGCAUAAACAGCAAUUGUAAAGAGAGAGUUGCCUUAUUUUUUGGAUUUAUGGCAGCCCAAGGUCAUUAAUGUGUCCUUGUUCUGACCAAACAAACCUUGUCAUUUGUCCUUCACUUUUAAAUCCCAGCCUCUCUGCUCAGAUCACACAUUCUAAUCACAAAUACACCUUCUAACCACCGUGCACACACAGCUGUGCAUGUCCAUAGACAGGCAGACAUCCAAGAUACAGGUCCCCACCCACACACCCACCAGAGCUGAGCGAAGAGGGGCUGUGGAUGCCUGAUACCUCGCCGUGCUCUGUCAGAUACCCAGUGGCAGGAAAGUGGCCGAAUGCAUGUGCAAGGAUGGGGGUGGGAUUAGAGCUAUUUAAAGCUGUAUGCGUCUGUCUCUCGGGGCUCAAGCACCAGAUACGUUCUCCCCCUCCUUCUCUCUUUUUCUUUUUUCCACAGAAAGCAUCCCAUGCACCACUGUGGCUUGGUAAAGCAGGCAUGCAGGCCUCUGCUCCUGGGCUCAAUCCACUUAUGUAACAUCGUCAUUGGUGAAGAAGGAGCACCAUCUGGGCCUGGGGCUACUGUACUCACUGUCCUCAGUGCAUGUGCAUGUGUGGCUAUGCCUUUGUGUGUUUGUGUAACAGAGAUGGAAAGGGUAUUACUGCUCAUCAUCUGUUGUCUGAGUCACUGGUCAGGUGUUAAAAGUCCCAUUUGUUAGCAUGAAUUAGUGUAAUAUUAACUGUGAUAUUUUAGUAUUUGCUAUAAAACUAUGGGCUCCAAAGUUGUUUCUGCAAAACCUGUGGAUGAUUAAUGUCUUAGAAUCAAUUUCUCCAACUUAAUUUUCAUAUGCCUUAAGGAUUCUCAUUUCUCUUCUCAAUAUACAACUUUUAACAAUCUUGCUAUUGCUACUGUGAGAGCCAGGUCAUCUGGAUCAGAUAGGUGGUGGAGAGUGGGGAACCUCAGGGCCCCAUCUUUGGCCCAUGUUUAUUUUCUAUUUAUAUAUUCCUCCUCCUAAGACAUACCGUUAUUAGACACAGUUUCAGAUUUCAUUCUUAUGCUAAUGAUAAACAACUGUAUCUUUCCUUUUAGAUAAAUGUCUACUCUGUCUCAUCAAUUUGUCUCAUGUUCCAAAACAAAUCCAUAUUGUUUAAUAAUGACAUGGUUAUGACAGUACUAUCAUUACUUGUUGCACAUUACUUUGAAAACCUCAGGUGACAAGCAGUCUUAAUUAAGGCUUAACUAUAGUAAAAGCUAACAAAGUGUGGCAGUGCCAUUCAAAACAGGAUUCUGUGGUUCAGCCUGGUCAGUGUAUGAAUGUAUGAUAACAUUCAACAUAACAUUCAAAAAAAACAUAAUAGACUAGUGGUAUCAGUGUUGCCAUUGGGAGCCUUUUAAGCAUACACUCACCAAUCACUUUAGGAUUUAGGAUAUUAGGAACACCUUAGGCUACUAAUACUCAUUGCUCUAAAAACAGUCUCAGUUCUUUGUGGCAUGGAACAUGCCUGUUGACAUGAUUGCACAUCAUUUCUGCAGAUUUGCCUCUACACAUUCAUCCUGCCAAUCUCCUGUUCUACAACAUCCCAAAGGUGCUGGAGGAGGCCUUUGAAGUACACUGAACUCAUUUUGUGCAUUAUUAUGCUGGAGGUAUCCAUUAGAACCAACCAGAACCUGAAAGGACUGAGAAUGCUGUUGUGUUCAGCCUCUUGAGUGAGCAUUUGGAUAACAGAUCUGUGAUCCAGCGCUACACCUGCAGUUUUCAGCACAAGCAUCUCAUAUGCAAAUCCACGUAGAUCAUCAAACAGCAGGGGACCGUAUUUAUGAGUUCAUCUUUUUAUCUGAGACAGCUAAGCCUUUUUUGGAUAAUAAACCUCAUCACUGUGUAAUGAGAGUAAUUGUUCUAAGUGUGAAUCUGUUUUGUUUAAACUUGAGUGUGCUAUUGUUGUAGUAACUAAGCUAUUCAGGUGGAUGACUGGAAUACAGAUCACAUAGAGUGGUGAAGUGAGAUGAUUUAUUUUGGUCCCCAGGUUGUGGAAGGAAAAGCCUGUGCAUUUUCUACUUUUAGAACAAUCUUAUAAGUAUCUUAUAAGUCUUACAGGUAUCUGGCAGUUGGAGGACUUCCAAGGUUUGGAUGGAUAUGAAAUUCUGCUGGUUGAAUCAGCAGCACAAAAGAUGAGUGAACUUUUAUAAAAUAUAUAUUUUCUUUGAGCACAGAAAUUCAUUUGUGUCCCUGAGAAUAGAAUGUGCAACAAAAUAAUAUACACCAAUUCUGUACAUGUGUCUUAGUACAGUCAUUGUGCUCAACUCAAUUAGUUCAGUACUUAAAGUAAGGUCACUUCACCUGGCAAGUGCAUCAAUCCCAUUGUGCUUGCAAACCUUUUCCAACAUAGAUUAGAAUAGAAUAGACUUUAUUGUCAGGGUACAAUGAAAUUUUGUAAGAACAAAUACCACAAUACAGACAGAACAACGACAGAGCACUUAGGUUGCGUGCUAACAUGCAGAGCGGAUGAGACAGUUUCUCAGAGCUAGCACAGUAGCUGCAGACAGCAAUACUCACAACCCUCCUCCUAGUAACUAACAUUACACCAAGAGCAUACAGCCUUUCUUUUUAGAUUUCUAUUUUUCUGUCAUACUCGCUCCCACUGCCUCCUUUAUAGCCUCCCAUGCCAUGAUUGGUUGGAAUGAGCCACACCAAUGAACUUCAUCAUGCCAGUUCUAGAGCCAGGGCUGUCUAAAAAGACCAACUUUUUUCUCAGAACACACACUCAGAAGGGGCAGCUAAUCACGUCAUGAUGAGUGAAAGUACAUAAAAACUCUGUGUACAUUUUCUUAAAAAGAAAUUUCUGACAAAUGUUAUGUUAAAGCUAAUAUUCCCACUUUGCAGUGUUGGACUGACAGCCUAAAAUACAAUAAAUAAAUACAGCCCUGGAGUAAUCUACUGGGAUUUGAAGGUUACUCUGACUUCAAAACCAUAACAUGUUCUUUCCCCAUAUAUAAGUCCACAGACAAUAGGCAGCGGUCUGCUUGACUCAUGUCAACUUUCAAUGCAGAAGAGAAUGUUGGAAGUCUGUCAGACUACCCUGCAUGUUGAAAAAUUACACUAAAUGGUUACCCAGUGCAUUAAUAACUCACACCAAGCGGUCCUGACCAAGUGUCCCUUUAUGACAAUCUGGGAGUUAGACUGUUUGUGAAAACUGUGAAUACAGUCAUGUGUCAACUAUAAGUUACACAGAAAUUAGCCAUUGUUCUCCCUGUGAUUUCAGAGAGCUGUUGUACCAUUUAUCUGAUCCCUGACCAGUUCGACCACUGAUGGAUCUGUGUGGGUAAGAAGCACCGAUCUGUAAAGGCAUGACCAACUGACCACCAUGGACCCAGUGGUACAAGUCUCUGUGGAGGAGUAAUUUGGUGUGAGACUUGCCUUGGACAAACUGACAUAGCUCUGAACUCCACAGAUCUGGAGCACAAGCUAGGCGCUUAGGCUUCAACUGAAAGGACUGUCUUCCAACUCUGAUAAAUACUGCUGGGCAUGGCUGUGGCAGUGGCUCAGUGUGCUAGACUCCAGGUGAUCUUGCAGUCCUCUCUGUUUUCUUCCAGCAAUCCUCUAGCUAAACCUAGCAUGGGACCUGCAAACUAGCCUGCCUGCUCUUACAUCCUCUAGCCACCAGCCUGCUCCUCGGUUAGCCCAUUGUCUCAUUCUGCCCCAGAAAACGCCAUAGAGCCACCUUUCAGGAGAUCCUGUAAAAAAGGUACACGUGGCUCCCACUGACAUUGGUCUUCUCUCCUGCCCAGUGCCAUGGAGGUCCCACUGCAGCAUUGUAAUCCAGUCUGCUCCUAAGUUGGGGAUUUCCUUCUGCUGUCCCCCCUCCUGAGUCAGGGGUCCCAGCUGCUGUUUUUUUCAGCGUUGGCCGUCCCAGCCAACGAUGGAGGAGCCCGGUUUUGUCUGUCUGUCCAGCCUCUGGGCCAUCUUCCUGAGGCCCUCAUCUCUCCUGCUCCCCAACAACUGGGCCAACCACCCAAGGUCCUCAACUCUCCUGCUCUUUCCACCCCACUAAUUAUAUGUUAUGGACCACAUAUAUCUGUCCUCUGCUCACAGUCACUGUCAGGUCAUCUCGUUGCCAUUCCUGCAUUCAUGUAUUUGUGCGUUCAGGUGGAGCAAAAAGCUGGCCAUUGCAAUAAUGCUUAAAUAUGGGGAUAAUGGUACACAUUUUCAAUCACUGUCUUGUGGGAGGUAUUGAUAGUGGUGCAUAGAAAUGUUCAUAUCCUUGUUGUCCAUAUUUGUGAAGCUAUCUGGCCAUCCAACAAGCUGUUUUGAUGCAAUGUACUGACCUCUUAACUGCUACAAGUGACUCUGACAGCUUGUUAAUUUCUGCCCAAAAAAAGAGAGAGAUUUGAGAAUGAAAGUAGAUCUCAUUCAGGCAUGUCACAGCUCUGUGGUCAUCGGACUAUGUACUUUUAUGUAAAACAGAAAUGCUCCUUCAUUCAGAUGUCCCUCUGUUCUCUUGCUUCAGAGCUCUGUGCACACAGGUACUGCUCUGUAUGCUCAUUUCACAGGUCUGCGCACGCACCAUUUAUAAAACUAAAUAAACACUGUAACCUGUCUUCUGCUAUACACUGUGUGUACAAUUAUUAGGCAAGUGAGUAUUUUGACCAUAUUAUCAUUUUUAUGCAUAUUUCCCAACUCCAAACUGUAUAAACUUGAGUGCUUAUUGGAUUCGAGCAUAACAGGUGAUGUGUAUUUGUGUAAUGAGGGAGGGUGUGGCCUAAGGAGAUCAACACCCUAUAUCAAGGUGUGCAUAAUUAUUAGGCAGAUUCUUUUCCUCAGGCAAAAUGGGCCGAAAAACACUUGAAAUUGCAAAGCUAUUGGGUCAUGAUCACAGAACUAUCAAACGUUUUGUUGCAAAAGGUCAACAGGGUUGAAAGAAACGUGUUGAGGAAAAAAAGACGCAAAUUAACUGCCAAAGAUUUACAAAAAAUCAAGCAUGAAGGUACUAGGAACCCAUUGUCUUCCAGUGCUGGCAUAUUUCAGAACUGUAACCUACCUGGAGUACCCAGAAGUUCAAUGUGUUCAGUGCUCAGAGACAUGGCCAAGGUAAGGAAGGCUGAAAUCUGACCACCAUUGAAAAAGACACAUAAGUUAAAAUGUCAAGACUGGGCCAAGAAAUACCUGAAGACUGAUUUUUCAAAGGUUUUAUCAGUAAUGGGCACAAAGCUCCACUUCGAUUCAGACACCAGCAGGGUGGAGGUGAGGUUCUGGCAUGGGCUGGUAUCAUUAAAGAUGAGCUAGUUGGACCUUUUCAGGUUGAAGAAGGACUUAAAAUCAACUCCCAGAACUACUGCCAGUUUUUAGGGGACACUUUCUUCAAGCAGUGGUACAGAAAAAAUCCUGCAUCUUUCAAGAAGACCAUGAUUUUUAUGCAGGACAAUGCUCCAUCACAUGCAUCAAAGUACUCCACUGCAUGGCUUGUCAGUAAAGGCCUUAAAGAUGACAGGAAAAUGACAUGGCCCCCUUCCUCCCUAUUGAGAACUUGUGGCAUCUUCUUAAACAGGAGAUUUACUAUGAAGGAAAACAGUACACCUCUCUGAACAGUGUCUGGGAGGCUGUGGCUGCUGCAGACAAAAAGUUGAUCAUCAACAGAUAAAGAAAUUGACAGACUCCAUGGAUGGAAGGCAGUUAUUGAAAAGAAGGGUGGCUAUAUUGGUUACUGAUUAUUUUUGUGGAAAUGUUAGAAAUGUUAAUUAUUUUCACUUUCACAAGUGAGAUGGAAAAAUAUUCAGUUCAGUGCAUUCAUUGAGUUCGGCUAAUAAUUCUGUGCACCAAUAUUUGCCAAAUAACUGUGCACACUGAGAUAUUCUCUUAAGAAAGACAAACCCUGACUUUUACUUUCUUAAAUAUUCAGGUUUGAGCUUUAUUAACAUUUUUGGAUUGAGUGAGAGCACUGUAGGUGUUAAAAAAUAAAGUUAAUCAUCAAAAACACAACUUGCCUAAUAAUUGUGCAUGCAGUGUACUAGAUGACACCGUUGUGGUUGUCCUUGCCUCUAUAAUCUUCAAGGAAACUGUAACAGUAAGAGGAUAUAACACAUAAAAGCUGUUUUCCUGUUUUUAUUUUGCUUGACUUUUUAGAAGAUCCUAAACCUCUUGAUGCUGAUUCAGAUUCCCCUCAUUGCUCCCUGUGCAUUUCUCAACAGGGAUUCUUUUAUCUUGUAAUCUGUGAAUGAUUAA
This is a long non-coding RNA of Lates calcarifer (barramundi perch), 9931 nucleotides long. RefSeq lists it as uncharacterized. The record is from RefSeq and is a predicted model, not a curated record. The transcript is spliced from 3 exons. Lineage: Eukaryota; Metazoa; Chordata; Actinopteri; Centropomidae.